This is a long non-coding RNA of Nerophis ophidion (straightnose pipefish), 1367 nucleotides long. RefSeq lists it as uncharacterized. The record is from RefSeq and is a predicted model, not a curated record. Lineage: Eukaryota; Metazoa; Chordata; Actinopteri; Syngnathiformes; Syngnathidae. The transcript has 4 exons.
UCUCAAUUCAGGUCCUCAUAUUUUCUGAACCAGAUUUUAGUGUGUUUUAUAUUCUUAAUUAAUUGUCUAAGAGCUGAAACUCUGUAAUAAUCUUUACUAUUUAUCUGGCAUUGUAUGCUCAGAGUUUUAUCAACAAAAAGUGCUGAUAAUGUUAUAAUUAAUUAGUUUUGACAUUAUAUUUUUGUGUUUUGUUGCAGAAACCAACUGUUGAGGUUCCAUCUCAACAUUCUCCAGAUUCAGAUGUGAGCCAUUAACUGACUUCAUCCCUCCAACAGAAACCAACUGUUGAGGUUCUAUCUCAACAUUCUCUAGAUUCAGAUGACAGCCAUAAACCGACUUCAUCCCUCCAACAGAUUGACAGCAGGACAAAUCGCUGGAAGUGGGUAUGUCUCAAGCUUCUUCCACUUGGUCCACUCCAAAGCGGGCUGCAAAGGGGAAGAAGUGGAAGCAGUUGAAUGACACAUGUUGCAUUUUGUAACUGGCAACAAAGUACCAGGUAAAAAAGAUUGUGAAGCCUCCCUCCAUAAAGAACUAGUAACUCUACAGGACAGAGAUUGGCUUGAGAUCAAGUACUACAUCCAUAACAGAAUUAUAUUUAAAAAAGGAAAAAAAAAUGUUUUCCCACAUCUUCUGUGGUAGUUUGAGUAUGUUACCAGCAAUUAAAAAAGCAAAAUAAACAGCAAGCGUUUUGUAUUUAUUCCAGAUCAUUCUUAGCGACAAAAUCCACAAAAACAAUUCAGUUACACUUAAUCGACAAUUACAUUUUUACCCAUGUUUCUUUUAAACUCUUCUUGGUUUUAGAUUACAGUAGCAUGGGAUUGGGAUUUUUUUUUUAAAUGACAACACAUCAACUAAACCAACUCAGGUGGUUUUGUUAAGUCUCUGAUGUCAUUAGCCUCAUAUGUCACAUGAACCUGAAAUCUUAAACACUCUGUGACGUCAUGGUUGUCAUAUUUCACAAACUAGAAAUCUUAAACACUCUGUGACGUCAUGGUCAUCAUAUGUCACAUAAACUUGAAAUCUUAAACACUCUGUGACGUCAUGGUCAUCAUAUGUCACAUGAACCUGAAAUCUUAAACACUCGGUGACGUCAUGGUCAUCAUAUGUCACAUAAACUUGAAAUCUUAAACACUCUGGUCUUCAUUUGUCACCUAAACCUGACAAGUCCUCAUAUGUACCAUAAAAAUCAGGUUCAGAAAAAAACAAAAGAGUUGCAAAAAUCUCAAUAGACCACUGUGUUUCUAAAAUUCUGGUUCACUAACCGUCUGAGUCCCAGGCCUGUAGGACCAUUGGAAAGGCAUGUCCCCAUAUGUCACGUUUUUGUCAUAAGUCCUCAUAUGUCACCCAAACACGUAUGUGUGUGUGUG